This 429-nucleotide ribosomal RNA is filed under the name bacterium. Its description in RNAcentral is "partial 16S ribosomal RNA". It matches the Rfam family "Bacterial small subunit ribosomal RNA", at positions 355 to 776 of the family's 1533-position model. The record is from RNAcentral.
UAGGGAAUCUUCCACAAUGGACGCAAGUCUGAUGGAGCAACGCCGCGUGAGUGAAGAAGGUUUUCGGAUCGUAAAGCUCUGUUGUUGGUGAAGAAGGAUAGAGGCAGUAACUGGUCUUUAUUUGACGGUAAUCAACCAGAAAGUCACGGCUAACUACGUGCCAGCAGCCGCGGUAAUACGUAGGUGGCAAGCGUUGUCCGGAUUUAUUGGGCGUAAAGCGAGCGCAGGCGGAAUGAUAAGUCUGAUGUGAAAGCCCACGGCUCAACCGUGGAACUGCAUCGGAAACUGUCAUUCUUGAGUGCAGAAGAGGAGAGUGGAAUUCCAUGUGUAGCGGGGGAAUGCGUAGAUAUAUGGAAGAACACCAGUGGCGAAGGCGGCUCUCUGGUCUGCAACUGACGCUGAAGCUCGAAAGCAUGGGUAGCGAACAGG